This 73-nucleotide transfer RNA is filed under the name Felis catus (domestic cat). It matches the Rfam family "tRNA". Rfam says of the family: Transfer RNA (tRNA) molecules are approximately 80 nucleotides in length. Their secondary structure includes four short double-helical elements and three loops (D, anti-codon, and T loops). The record is from Rfam by way of RNAcentral. RNAcentral also lists the same sequence under 2 other names. Lineage: Eukaryota; Metazoa; Chordata; Mammalia; Carnivora; Felidae.
GCCUGGCUGGCUCAGUCGGUGGAGCAUGUGACUCUUAAUCUCAGGGUUGCGAGUUCGAGCCCCGCGAUGGGUG